UGCGUAGGCGGAAAAUUAAGUCAGUGGUGAAAUCCUGCAGCUCAACUGUAGAACUGUCAUUGAUACUGAUUUUCUUGAAUACAGUUGAGGUAGGCGGAAUAUGUAAUGUAGCGGUGAAAUGCUUAGAUAUUACAUAGAACACCAAUUGCGAAGGCAGCUUACUAAACUGUGAUUGACGCUGAGGCACGAAAGCGUGGGGAGCGAACAGGAUUAGAUACCCUGGUAGUCC
Molecule: ribosomal RNA, 229 nt
Filed under: uncultured bacterium
Lineage: Bacteria
Description: partial 16S ribosomal RNA
Rfam family: Bacterial small subunit ribosomal RNA
Source: RNAcentral